GACGAACGCUGGCGGCGUGCUUAACACAUGCAAGUCGAACGGAAAGGCCCUGCUUUUGUGGGGUGCUCGAGUGGCGAACGGGUGAGUAACACGUGAGUAACCUGCCCUUGACUUUGGGAUAACUUCAGGAAACUGGGGCUAAUACCGGAUAGGAGCUCCUGCUGCAUGGUGGGGGUUGGAAAGUUUCGGCGGUUGGGGAUGGACUCGCGGCUUAUCAGCUUGUUGGUGGGGUAGUGGCUUACCAAGGCUUUGACGGGUAGCCGGCCUGAGAGGGUGACCGGCCCCAUUGGGGCUGGGGUACGGCCCAGGCUCCUUCGGGGGGCAGCAGUGGGGAAUAUUGCACAAUGGGCGGGAGCCUGAUGCAGCAACCCCGCGUGCGGGAUGACGGCCUUCGGGUUGUAAACCGCUUUCGCCUGUGACGAAGCGUGAGUGACGGUAAUGGGUAAAGAAGCACCGGCUAACUACGUG
Molecule: ribosomal RNA, 468 nt
Filed under: uncultured bacterium
Lineage: Bacteria
Description: partial 16S ribosomal RNA
Rfam family: Bacterial small subunit ribosomal RNA
Source: RNAcentral